GUGUGCAGGAAGUAAAGGUUUGUGUGUUUGUUUGAUUUUUUGUUAACUUCUAAGCCUGUUUUCACCUUAAGAGGAAAGUGUGGGUUCUUUUCUCCCCUGCAAACUUGAAUAUAGGAUUUCUUCUUGGCCUUUAUCAACUCAAAAUACUUCCCAAUUCUCAGGCCUCUGAAUUGCAAAAGUGGAUGAUGCCAGCUCCAGGAAGUUGGGGAUUGUCUUCCUCACUCCUGUAUUCCCGGCUCCUAGAACAGUGACUGUCACCCAGCAGCUGUUGAGCUAAUGGCUAUUGAGUGGACAACCACUCGAGCAACAAUGCAGUCAGCUUCGUGGACUUUGUUUUACUGAGGGGCAUCUGGAGAGUUGGGACCAGAGGUGAAUUGCUCAAGAGAAGAGGGAAGCAGUGAGGACACAGCUGUCCUCCUCCAUCUAUCCCCAGGUCAGGCAGCCCCCUCCUCUAAGGCAGAGAAUAUUGUUUGAAAGGCACUUGUCUUCACUUAUUUUGUGCUGCUACAACAGGAUACCACAACCUGAGGAAUUUAUAAUGAACAGAAAUUUAUUGGCUUAUGGUUCUAGAGACUGGGAAGUCCAAGAUCAUGAGCAUCUGGUGAGAUCACUGACAUCUGGUCAGGGCCUUCUUGCUGCAUCAAACAUGAUGGAAGGGCAAAGAGGGGGUGAGAGAGACAAGAGGGUGCCAACCCCUCCCAUGAUAAUGGCAUAAAUCCAUUCAUGAGGGUGGUGCCCCCAUGACCCAAACACCUACCAUUAGGCCCCACCUCCCAACACUACUGCGUUGGGGGUCAAAUUUCCAGCACUUGAACUUUGGGGAACCCAUUCAAACCACAGCAGCACUGUGGCAGACACUGCCAGUUCCCUGCCCAACAGGCAUUCCCCCUUUUCCUUGGCAACAGAUGCUAAAUUUAUUCAGGGUUGCAUGGUGCCAGCUUAAAAAGCUCAGCUCUGGGCUCCCUUGCAUCUGGGAAUGGCCUAUGGCACAUGUAGCCAGUUAGAUACAAACAGAAGCUGUUGGGAUUGGGGUGGUUAGAGGAAAGGUUGUUAAAAAGGAUGGACUUGAUCUGACAUGUCUGCCUCCUUCUUUUUGUCUGAAACUGGAGAUUUGGCCACUUAUCUGUCUUGAAAACCUGAUGAAAGCUACACACAUAGGAGGGCAGAAUGGAAAGACACACAGAACCUGGGUUUCUGAUAGCCCUGUACUAUUGGUCUCCAAAUUUCUUGGUAUGUGAGAAAAGCAAUCUCCUAUUUGGUUAAGCCACUGUAGCCACUGACAGGCAUCUGAACACAGCCCUGAUGGCUGCUUGCACCACCUGACUAGCUGCUGAGAUGCUGAAGUUCUUACAGAGUCCCUGAGUCCCAGGUCAGCCAAAUUAGCACAAAUUACUGAAGACACCAUCUCACAAUGGAUGGAGGCACUCCAGGGAGGCCGAGAACAACUGAAUGAUGCCUGAACCAACACAUGCAAGCACACACACACACACACACACCUAUUAGCUCAGACAACUGUGAGCCGGGAGAAUUUUGGACACAUAAGAGAGAGGGUUCUUGAAGAUGAGCAGGGACUGUAACCAUGAACUUCCUUUCCCAAAAGAAAAACUGUCCAGUCAUUCUGAAAGGAGGUGGAGUUGCACGUUGGGAGGGGAAAUCUAGAAUUCUGACCUGACAUGCUUAGCGUUUGCACUUACGCAGCUGUGCUCCCUGUGAAGGUACAGGAAUCCUGCUCCUCACCAAGAUCCAGGGGCAGCAAGCAGCUCUGCUCUUUCACGCACAGCAUACAUCUCCACCUGUGUUACCACUGUCAGAAGGUGCACUUUCCGUCUGAAUUAACAAAAAGCAUGAACCAUACUGGCUGUUAGGGACUGAAUGUUUAUAUCCCUCAAAAAUCAAAUGUUUAAGCCCUAACCCCCAACGUGACUAUAUUUAAAAACAGAGCCUAUAAGGAGGAGGCGCAGAGGACACACCAUGUGAGGACACAGCAAGAAGGCAGCUGUUUGUAAGCCAGGAACAGAGCCCUCACCAGAAACUGACUUUCUAGCACGUGAUCACAGACUUCCAGCCUCCAGAACUGUGAGAAAAUAAAUGUCUGUUUUUAAUCAGUCUAUGGUAUUUUGUGAUGGCAGCCUGACUAAUGCAAAUCUGUUCUGACCAAAACAGACUUUAUCCCCCUAAUAAAAAAAGCCAAAGAUUAAA
This is a long non-coding RNA of Homo sapiens (human), 2199 nucleotides long. RefSeq lists it as uncharacterized. The transcript has 2 exons. NCBI's taxonomy places the organism in Eukaryota, Metazoa, Chordata, Mammalia, Primates, Hominidae. The record is from RefSeq and is a predicted model, not a curated record.